UACGGAGGGUGCGAGCGUUGUCCGGAAUCACUGGGCGUAAAGGGCGCGUAGGCGGCCUGAUAAGUAGGGGGUGAAAUCCUGCGGCUUAACCGCAGGGCUGCCUUCUAAACUGUCAGGCUGGAGCACAGUAGAGGCAGGUGGAAUUCCCGGUGUAGCGGUGGAAUGCGUAGAUAUCGGGAGGAACACCAGUGGCGAAGGCGGUUGCCUGGAGCUUUGCUGACGCUGAGGCGCGAAAGCGUGGAGAGCGAUCCGG
RNAcentral lists this ribosomal RNA (253 nucleotides) under uncultured bacterium. RNAcentral describes it as "partial 16S ribosomal RNA". It matches the Rfam family "Bacterial small subunit ribosomal RNA", at positions 524 to 776 of the family's 1533-position model. The record is from RNAcentral.